This 468-nucleotide ribosomal RNA is filed under the name uncultured bacterium. Its description in RNAcentral is "partial 16S ribosomal RNA". It matches the Rfam family "Bacterial small subunit ribosomal RNA", at positions 28 to 507 of the family's 1533-position model. The record is from RNAcentral.
GACGAACGCUGGCGGCGUGCUUAACACAUGCAAGUCGAACGGAAAGGCCCUGCUUUUGUGGGGUGCUCGAGUGGCGAACGGGUGAGUAACACGUGAGUAACCUGCCCUUGACUUUGGGAUAACUUCAGGAAACUGGGGCUAAUACCGGAUAGGAGCUCCUGCUGCAUGGUGGGGGUUGGAAAGUUUCGGCGGUUGGGGAUGGACUCGCGGCUUAUGAGCUUGUUGGUGGGGUAGUGGCUUACCAAGGCUGUGACGGGUAGCCGGCAUGAGAGGGUGACCGGGCACAAGGGUACUGAGGUACGGCGCAGUCGCGUACGGGAGGCAACAGGGGGGAAUAUGGCACAGUGGGCGGAAGUCUGAUGCAGCAACGCCGGGUGCGGGAUGACGGCUUUCGGGGUGUAAACCGCUUUCGCCUGUGACGAAGCGUGAGUGACGGUAAUGGGUAAAGAAGCACCGGCUAACUACGUG